Poecilia reticulata (guppy) is the source of this 202-nucleotide non-coding RNA. NCBI's taxonomy places the organism in Eukaryota, Metazoa, Chordata, Actinopteri, Cyprinodontiformes, Poeciliidae. The record is from RefSeq and is a predicted model, not a curated record.
AGAAACAAUGAACACACACAAUUUCUGAGAAAGAAGUCAUCACAAUCACUUUGCUCCCGGCUAGUCUGAAGGAGUUUAGUGAGGUGGAAGCUCUGAAUUUUGGAAACUGGCUCAGAGGAGGAGCUUCAUCCUCGAAGGCGGAGCUAGGUCCACCCCGGUGUUUUGACCAGCUGAAUGGAGAUUAAAGGAUUUGUAAAACAUG